AAAGCUCCGAGAUCGAAAGCUCGGCGCCAGAGGAUGGGUCUGCGGCUAUCAGGUAGUAGUGGGUGUAGCGUACUUACUAGCUUACGACGGGUACGGGUUGUGAGAGCAAGAGCCCGGAGAUGGAUUCUGAGACACGAAUCCAGGCCCUACGGGGUGCAGCAGGCGCGAAAACUUUACAAUGCCGGCAACGGCGAUAAAGGGACCUCGAGUGCCAGGUUACAAAUCUGGCUGUCGUGAUGCCUAAAAAGCAUUGCAUAGCAAGGGCCGGGCAAGACCGGUGCCAGCCGCCGCGGUAACACCGGCGGCUCGAGUGGUAACCGUUAUUAUUGGGUCUAAAGGGUCUGUAGCCGGCCGGAUAAGUCUCUUGAGAAAUCCAGCAGCUCAACUGUCAGGCUUUCAGGAGAUACUGUCUGGCUCGAGGCCGGGAGAGGUGAGAGGUACUUCAGGGGUAGGGGUGAAAUCUUGUAAUCCUUGAAGGACCACCAGUGGCGAAGGCGUCUCACCAGAACGGACCUGACGGCAAGGGACGAAAGCUAGGGGCACGAACCGGAUUAGAUACCCGGGUAGUCCUAGCCGUAAACGAUACUCGCUAGGUGUCGGCCACGGUGCGACCGUUGUCGGUGCCGUAGGGAAGCCGUGAAGCGAGCCACCUGGGAAGUACGGCCGCAAGGCUGAAACUUAAAGGAAUUGGCGGGGGAGCACCACAACGGGUGGAGCUUGCGGUUUAAUUGGAUUCAACGCCGGAAAUCUUACCGGGACCGACAGCAACAUGAAGGCCAGGCUGAAGACUUUGCCGGAUUAGCUGAGAGGUGGUGCAUGGCCGUCGUCAGUUCGUACUGUGAAGCAUCCUGUUAAGUCAGGCAACGAGCGAGACCCA
RNAcentral lists this ribosomal RNA (877 nucleotides) under uncultured archaeon. RNAcentral describes it as "bacterial SSU rRNA". It matches the Rfam family "Archaeal small subunit ribosomal RNA", at positions 174 to 1054 of the family's 1478-position model. The record is from RNAcentral.